GCUACAGAUUUCCAUUAAUCAUCUCUAGAAGGCUCUGAACAUUGAGCAAAAAUUUUAAUUAAGAUAAUUUCAACAGAUCUCUUAGAAUUAUCAGUAAACUGUCCUAUCUGUUGAUAUCAGAAAGGAUGGUAUUGUUUGUCUGGUGCUCUCUCAGUGGUAGGAAAGGUGGAUAAUUUGAGAAAGUUUUACUUUCAUGUAUCAUUUUCUCCUGAUCAAUCAAUAAAUAAUGCAUCGGUGUGAGUGGAAAAACCUUUUCUUCUGGUUCUCCACCUGAAUCAUUGCUCACUCAUAUACAGUGCUAUGGGAGAUGAACAGUAAAUGCCUCUUUCUUCAAAGGAUGCAAGGAGUUGCUGAAAGCUGCUGACCUUACGUUUUAUACCAAUCAAACUUUCCUGAGCUAACUCAAAUGGCAUUUUCUAUCCUUACCUCUUCUGGGUGCCAUGGAAACGGACAUCUAUCCUGUUAUAAAGGCUAGGGAAAGAGCUGCUGAGGGGAGAGCCUGAGUUCUUCUAUCUCAAUUUAUUCUCAGCCUACCCUUCCUCAGAUCACACUUAUCUUCUGCUUAUUCCCUGGAUACAGGUUGUGCUAGUGAAUGGAAAUUCAGUGAUAAAAUCCUCUCCAAUUUCUGUUAGUUAUAAAGAGAAGAUUUUCAACAAUUAAGAUAAGUUUCUCAGAAGCUGAUAGUUCUGUUGAUGCUGUUAAGUAGAUUCAGUCUUUAGAUGAUAUACAUCUAUAAUUUCUUACUGCUGUAUUUACUUAUUGAGAAGGAAAUCCUGACCUUUAACCACAGCUACACCGACAGGGAGAAAAAGUGAUUCCUUGAUUGCAUAGAGGCUAAAAGGAGGUUCCUGAAAGUUUGACAGAAGAUUUAGUUGGGUAAAAGUGUCUGUCUUCUUGAAGAAAAGCAUCAGGCCUACUCAUACUACAGGUAUUAUGCACCUCCUCUUAGUUACCUGAUGUCCGGCAGAUCAUGUCCAGUUUGAUGUCAUCUUGUUUACUAAUCAAUAGCAAUGAGGAAUAUCUUCUGCCUUUGCAUUGACUGCAAAUAAGAGGCACCUCUAUUCUCUGGACAAGAGUGACUUAAUUGCACUGAAGUAAUCAGUGGGAUUUAUCCCUAAACAGCAUAGUCUAAAGAGGUUUCAAAGGCCUUUGUAGGUUUUAGGUGAGUGUCUUGAAUUAUUUUCCUUAAAAUAGUGGUUUUCAAUCUGAAAAUCUCUGUCAUUAUUUAUUAUGAACUUGUAGCAAACCUUGUUCCAUAAUUUACCCAUAAAGGCAGGGAAGGGGAGCUCUCCUCAUGGUUAUAUAAUAAAAACUUAUAAAGCCUACCUAAAGCAGACCAAAGAAGAAGGAGCGCCAUUAAGAAGAAAAACAUCAGCCUCUGACUAACAUGUAUACUCAAAUUCAACAUGGUUUUAUCAGUUCUACCCUUGCUACUUAUGGUCUAUAUUUUUCCUCUAAUUAGAAUAAACUAAAAAGGACAAAUUUUAGCCUAAUGUCUACUGAAAGCUUUCUGGUAAUUAAAUUUGUGUAACUGAGAAAAAAAUGUUUUGAAAAGUAAUACUGAAAGUUUCACAAAGUAAUACUCAUAAGAAAAAAAUAGGAAAAGUAGCACUUAAUGAAUUUAAGAACUGACAAAGCUUUGGCAAGUGAACGAUUUUUAAGUAAGAUACUUCUUCCUGUUGUCUAUAGUGACUCACUUUCUCUUGUGCAAAUUACUCAAGUUACAUCAGUCUGUACUCUUGAGUUUUGUUGACAUCUCUGAGAGGAGGUUCAAGUCCAUGAUUCUGAGAUCAGCAAAACAAAAGAAGUCUUCAAUAUAAAAGUAGGAAUACUUCUUCAGCUGAAAUGGGGAAAAAAAAUGUUUGCUCAGUUAUAAUUCCAGCCAUAGAUUUUAGACUCAAAGAUGGUUUUUGGUUUUCUAUG
Non-coding RNA from Meleagris gallopavo (turkey), 1923 nucleotides. NCBI's taxonomy places the organism in Eukaryota, Metazoa, Chordata, Aves, Galliformes, Phasianidae. The record is from RefSeq and is a predicted model, not a curated record.